CCUACGGGAGGCAGCAGUGGGGAAUAUAGGACAAUGGGGGCAACCCUGAUCCAGCCAUGCCGCGUGUGUGAAGAAGGCCCUCGGGUUGUAAAGCACUUUCAGUGAGGAAGAACGCCUGGUGGUUAAUACCCAUCAGGAAAGACAUCACUCACAGAAGAAGCACCGGCUAACUCCGUGCCAGCAGCCGCGGUAAUACGGAGGGUGCGAGCGUUAAUCGGAAUUACUGGGCGUAAAGCGCGCGUAGGUGGCUCGAUAAGCCGGUUGUGAAAGCCCCGGGCUCAACCUGGGAACGGCAUCCGGAACUGUCAAGCUAGAGUGCAGGAGAGGAAGGUAGAAUUCCCGGUGUAGCGGUGAAAUGCGUAGAGAUCGGGAGGAAUACCAGUGGCGAAGGCGGCCUUCUGGACUGACACUGACACUGAGGUGCGAAAGCGUGGGUAGCAAACAGGAUUAGAUACCCCGGUAGUC
Molecule: ribosomal RNA, 465 nt
Filed under: Vreelandella stevensii
Lineage: Bacteria; Pseudomonadati; Pseudomonadota; Gammaproteobacteria; Oceanospirillales; Halomonadaceae
Description: partial 16S ribosomal RNA
Rfam family: Bacterial small subunit ribosomal RNA
Source: RNAcentral